UGGGGAAUCUUCCGCAAUGGGUGAAAGCCUGACGGAGCAACGCCGCGUGAGGGACGAAGGCCUCUGGGCUGUAAACCUCUUUUCUCAAGGAAGAAGAUAUGACGGUACUUGAGGAAUAAGCCACGGCUAAUUCCGUGCCAGCAGCCGCGGUAAUACGGGAGUGGCAAGCGUUAUCCGGAAUUAUUGGGCGUAAAGCGUCCGCAGGCGGCUUUUCAAGUCUGCUGUUAAAGCGUGGAGCUUAACUCCAUCAUGGCAGUGGAAACUGAAAGGCUUGAGUAUGGUAGGGGCAGAGGGAAUUCCCGGUGUAGCGGUGAAAUGCGUAGAUAUCGGGAAGAACACCAGUGGCGAAGGCGCUCUGCUGGGCCAUUACUGACGCUCAUGGACGAAAGCCAGGGGAGCGAAAGGGAUUAGAUACCCCUGUAGUCA
RNAcentral lists this ribosomal RNA (426 nucleotides) under uncultured cyanobacterium. RNAcentral describes it as "bacterial SSU rRNA". It matches the Rfam family "Bacterial small subunit ribosomal RNA", at positions 355 to 796 of the family's 1533-position model. Lineage: Bacteria; Bacillati; Cyanobacteriota. The record is from RNAcentral.